CCUGUGUGGAGGGCAGGGAAGACAUGUUGGCUCUUUCUGUCCAGGCUCACAGCUCCUCUGUCAUUUGAGGUGAAUGUCGGUGGAUAACACUUGAAGCCCGAGCGACACGUUCCGAGUUCUUUACGGAGUGGUCGGAACGGGAUCAAGGUCUACCGGUGCGCCUCCUCGUAAACCGACCAAGGAGGACCCACUCUGCAGGGCGCCUGGCGUCUUCAGCUGACCGUGUAAUGUGCUGGAGGUUCCAGGGGUCCCUCAGCCUGGAGGGUCGCCGUGCAAAGCCCCGACUGAACCAUUUCAGUUAUGCACAUGGUUUGAC
Schistocerca serialis cubense is the source of this 316-nucleotide long non-coding RNA. RefSeq lists it as uncharacterized. The record is from RefSeq and is a predicted model, not a curated record. Lineage: Eukaryota; Metazoa; Arthropoda; Insecta; Orthoptera; Acrididae. The transcript is spliced from 3 exons.